RNA transcript from Arachis stenosperma, 3698 nucleotides. RefSeq lists it as uncharacterized. The record is from RefSeq and is a predicted model, not a curated record. The transcript has 6 exons. NCBI's taxonomy places the organism in Eukaryota, Viridiplantae, Streptophyta, Magnoliopsida, Fabales, Fabaceae.
AUAAAAAAGAGAGCCAAAAGCCCUCAGUGCCUCACACUCACUUGACCAAGUUCAGAGCUCUGAAGUCUGAAUGACUCCCCUUCUCCAACCCUAACUUCUCCUCGACCACCAACGCAGCGCUACCAUUGAUCAUCACCCCCAGCGUCUCCGUCAGAACCAUAGAACCACCACUGUCAUGUUCUUCUUCUUCUUCCACCUUCGCCGAACAACCCCCGCGAAAAUCCUUUUUCUCUUUCUCUUCCCCUGUCUCCUGCCUUCUUUGUCUCGCCGUCGGCUACCAUCCUGCGCCGCCGCGACCAUCUUCUUCUCCUCCUUACAACCUCGCAUUGUGGCUCUGUAGUCCGCCCCUACCUCCCUCAUUUCCAGCCGCAGAAUCAGAACAGGGCCACUCCAGUUCCAGCGUGUUCAGAUGCAGCAGCGGCUGGUCACUGCCACUGCAUCCAUCUCUUCUAUGCUCUUGCUCUAUUCUUCGACUCAGUUUACAGAAGUGAAACCAAAAUCCGAAUUAUCUUCAUUUGAAAGUAAGUCUCAGAAUCUAAAUCAUCUCAGAAGGUAUAUUUUCCCCCUUUUGGUUCAUUAUGAUCUACUUCUUAUGUGAUCAUCAUAAAUGAUAUUAAGUAUAAAAUUUUUUAAUUGUGUAGUAUGUUCUGCUUUAACUGGCCUUAUGCUCCAAUGGCAUGAACUUCUACCAUACUUAAUCCUGCAAAAGCAUUUUAUUUUUAUUUAUUUUUUUCUAAUUGAUGGAUACCCACAUCCUCUAGGAAGAACUGUCUAGAUAGUAAAUUUUCAGUGCCAACUAUGCCUCUUUUCAUUAUUAAAGUCAGCUACAUGAAUGUGUUUUGAAAGUGAUUAGAAUUAGAAAGUAAAUUAGAUGUGUUCAUUUUCUAAAGCCACCCUCUGGAGCAUAUAUUUUUUUUAUUUCAAGUGAUUCAUAUUUUAAUAUUUUAGAAAGACAAUGUAUGUCUCUGCAUAUAAUUUGCUGAUGAUUUCUAUCAGGAAUCAAACUUCAUAAGUCAAAAUAUUAAUUUGUUCUUUAAGCUAAGUAUGAAUGCUUCAAGCACAAAAAUUGCAUGAAAUUAGAGAAAUGUAAAUGGAAAAAAGCAGCAAAAAGAGUACCAAAAAAAGUCAAAGAAGUAAAAAAUGCUUAGCAACGGAUAGGUAUUGCAAUAAAGAUGGUAUAAUGUGUCUUUGAUUGGUGUUCUUACUGCAUAUGAAGGUUGUGCAUGUUUCGAUAAUUGUAAGAUGCUCCUCUGUCUUUGGAUCAAAUUUGGUAAUAUUUAAAGAGAUGAGAAAUUUUAUCCAAGUCCUAUCAUGAUAACGAAUUUUCUGGUUUUUCUAAUUACUCAUGUCUCAUUUUUUGAUGAAAUCCCACUCCAUUAUUUGAAGCUACGUCAGUGAUUAUAGCCCAAUAGGUGGUAUUUACUUAGAUGGUUAGAGAUUUUAGUGUAUUACUAGUUUAUGUUUGAAAAGAAUUUUCUCCUAUGAUCAAUGAAGUGUGAAACUAUAAGUAGUUCGUGCUGUGAUUUGAAUCUCUGAAAAUUAAUCAAUAAUAAUCAAACUAGUCAAUAGAAACCAGUAAUAUGGUUAAUACACCAAUUAGUGUGGUAUAAAAUUGGGCUAAUUAAUUUUUUUUUAUUGUGCGGCUCCCAAGGCUGUGGUAAAAUAUAGGAGCAAGAUUUAGGUAGUAAUUGGACUGCUAUGACUGGGUGUUAUAUAUAAUUUUAAUGUCCAGAUUUUAAUCCAAAUCACUACUACUUGUAGUAUAUAAUGACUUUAAACAUAGAUGUAUAUCCAGCUCACCUUAUAUAAAUUAUUGUAUUAGUUUUGAUAUUGUCUUUUAAGAUUGGACGCUAAUCAAAAUUAGUUCAAAGGCAUUAAUUCCUCGAUUAUUAAUGUGAGUAUAUAUCUUGCUAGAUGGGUCCAUAAUCCAUAUACACAACAUUGUGCAAGAAAAGCUUGAAUACCUGAGCAGAAUAAUCAAUGUACUUUUAUUUAGUGCACUGCUGAAACCAAACAUUAUCUGAUCACUUUGCAAUGUUAUUGAAUCAAUUUCACUUUGAGAUUUGAGAUUUGUGGUAUAAAUGACUGAAUUCCUUGAUUUUGAUGGUUAAUCUUGUUUCAGCUGUCAUCUUCACUUGUGUUUAUUUAUUAAUUUCAUGAACCAAGUCUUCCACUUGAUUACUUAGUAAUGUUCUAAAUUAUCAUUAACUAACACCUUAUGAAGCUUACUUUGAAGGUUAGUAUUUAAUUAGUAGGUAAUUUUUUUAUAGGAGCCUGUUUGUGUGGAUUAUUUUUUUAUUAGGUGCUUUGUUAUUAUUCAACGGUUUAGUCUUAUGUUUACGAAAAGCAAUUCUUUCAAUCCCACUUCGUUAUCAUGUUAACUAAUUCAUGUGUUAGGACCCAUUCCUUAUAUUGAUCAUGUAAACUCUAAUCAAUUAUGUGAAUUCAAAUAUAUCUUUCAACUUAAGAACUAUACAUAUUUUAAAAUAUAUCUUUAUCUGCUUGUGCAUAGUUUUGUUGUAUAUUUUUUGGUUUUGGCUGAAUAUUAUGGACAUGGAAAUUUAUGACGCAGGUAGUUGGAGGAGAUCCGCUUUUGAGGCUCAUAGCAGUUGAUUGGUUCACAGUCGAACAAUCUGUAGACAAAAUUGCUCUGCAUCCUAGAUGUCUGGUUCAGUCGGAAGCUGGGAAAAAGCUUCCAUUUAUCUUUGUCAUUAAUCUUUUGGUAUGGAUAUUAUUUUUCCUUUUUUAUUGCAAAGUGAAAUCCAUUUGAUGCAGAAGUGUUCAAGAAAGAGUGUUAAAAAAAGCCAUUAUUAGGUACCAUGAAACUAUAUGCCUAUUGUGAAUCUCCCACAUCCCCAGCUAUACGUACCAUGAAAGUAUCUAUAGCUGUUAAUCCAUAAUUUUAAGCCAAUAUCAUUGAAUGUAAAAUUGAUUAACUUUAAAAGUAUGGUGUUUAUAGUGGAAUAUGUUUGAUGCCUUCACUGGCUUUCCUGUUGAAUAACUCAGGAAGCAUUAAUGUAGUGCUUGAUUUUUCUGAAAUGGUGUUCGAUUGGAAUCAUAAAUUUGUGUAUGCUUAUAAAUCAGUUUCUCAAGAAGAUUUCUUUUGCUUUCAUCGACAUCAGGUUCCUGCUAAACUGAACUAUAGUCUGUUUCUAUAUUUUGCGGCUGACAGACCUAUGAAUAAAGAUUCUCUAUUGGCUAAGUUUGUAAAUGGAAGUGAUGCAUUUUCGACUCAGGAUUCAAACUUAUUCCAAGCAUAGUUGAGGGAUAUUGGAUGGUAAAGAGAGCCGUUGGAACAAAAGCUUGCUUGUUAAAGCUGUGACAUGUAAAUACUUUAGACAAGAUAAUUUUUUGGAGGGUUUUAGAGAGGCAAAGGAUCUGACUUCAAAACUCCUUACACUGCAAUAAUUGAUGCUUUACUAAAAUGUAGCUCAGUUAAGGGUGACAACUGCUCUUGCAGUAUAUGCUAACUGGAGCUUUGAAGGAAUCAAGGGUAGGGGAUGGGAUUGGACUGGUAUAAUCUAUCUAUUGUUUAUUUAGUGUUUCUUUAUGUUAAUAUCUCAAGUAUGAUAAAUAUGAUGUAAAGAAAAUAUGUUAUAGUAAAGAGAAAUGGUAUAAACCAUUUGAGUAGUUAAUUAGCUUUUUUAAGCUCUUGUAUGAACUUGCGGCGGUUUAAAACUGUCGCAUUUUUUAAAAAA